Molecule: long non-coding RNA, 320 nt
Organism: Orbicella faveolata
Lineage: Eukaryota; Metazoa; Cnidaria; Anthozoa; Scleractinia; Merulinidae
Source: RefSeq, a predicted model, not a curated record
UUCGAAAAUUUCUGGUUGAAUGGAAAGCGCCCACAACUUCACAAAAUAGAUAAGAGGGCUUCACAGUAUGGAUGCCCGCCUUCAGUUGUCGUUAUUUCUGGUGUUGUUAUUGUUUUUCUUUUUCUUGUUUUUUGAUGUUUUGUACCACUGUUGUAAAUAACCAAAAGCAGUUUUCUUCAUACCUAUUUACCUAGCAUCGUUGGAAGUGAAACAAAAGAAGACAUCCCGAAAGAUGAAACCAUAAACGUGUUCUCAGUAGCAUCUGGUCAUCUUUAUGAACGUUUCUUGAGGAUUAUGAUGUUGACUGUCAUGAAGAACAC